RNAcentral lists this transfer RNA (89 nucleotides) under Oryctolagus cuniculus (rabbit). It matches the Rfam family "tRNA". Rfam says of the family: Transfer RNA (tRNA) molecules are approximately 80 nucleotides in length. Their secondary structure includes four short double-helical elements and three loops (D, anti-codon, and T loops). Further hydrogen bonds mediate the characteristic L-shaped molecular structure. tRNAs have two regions of fundamental functional importance: the anti-codon, which is responsible for specific mRNA codon recognition, and the 3' end, to which the tRNAs corresponding amino acid is attached (by aminoacyl-tRNA synthetases). tRNAs cope with the degeneracy of the genetic code in two manners: having more than one tRNA (with a specific anti-codon) for a particular amino acid; and 'wobble' base-pairing, i.e. permitting non-standard base-pairing at the 3rd anti-codon position. The record is from Rfam by way of RNAcentral. Lineage: Eukaryota; Metazoa; Chordata; Mammalia; Lagomorpha; Leporidae.
GGGGGUGUAGCUCAGUGGGAGAGCACUGGACUGCAGAUCAAGAGGUCCCUUCAGAUAAAGAUCAGGAGGUUCAAAUCCUGGUGCCCCUG